This 507-nucleotide ribosomal RNA is filed under the name Pseudolycoriella tonnoiri. RNAcentral describes it as "partial 16S ribosomal RNA". Lineage: Eukaryota; Metazoa; Arthropoda; Insecta; Diptera; Sciaridae. The record is from RNAcentral.
GUCUUUUUGAUUUUAAUUUAAAGUUUAACCUGCCCAUUGAAAAUUUUUAAAAGGCUGCGGUAUUUUGACUGUACAAAGGUAGCAUAAUCAUUAGUUUUUUAAUUGAAAACUUGUAUGAAUGGUUGAAUGAGAAAUUAACUUUUUUAAAAAAAUAAUUGAAUUUUACUUUUUAAUUAAAAGGUUAAAAUAAAUUUAAAAGACGAGAAGACCCUAUAGAGUUUUAUAAUUUUUAUUUAAUAUUUAAAAAGAUUAAUUAAAAUUUUAUAAAAGAAAAUAUUUUGUUGGGGUGAUAAUAAAAUUUAAAUAACUUUUAUUUUUUUUUUACAUUAAUAUAUGAAUUUAUGAUCCAUUAUUUAUGAUUAGAAAUUUAAAUUACCUUAGGGAUAACAGCGUAAUUUUUUUUUAAAGUUCAUAUUAAUAAAAAAUUUUGCGACCUCGAUGUUGGAUUAAGAUUUAAUUUUAGGUGCAGCAGUUUAAAUUUUAAGUCUGUUCGACUUUUAAAUUCUU